CACGUAGGGGACGAGCGUUGUCCGGAUUCAUUGGGCGUAAAGCGCGCGUAGGCGGCUCGGAAAGUCGGUCGUGAAAUGCCGGGGCUCAACCCCGGGACUGCGUCCGAUACUCUCGAGCUGGAGGCAGGUAGGGGAGAUCGGAAUUCCUGGUGUAGCGGUGAAAUGCGCAGAUAUCAGGAGGAACACCGGUGGCGAAGGCGGGUCUCUGGGCCGUAACUGACGCUGAGGAGCGAAAGCGUGGGGAGCGAACAGG
Molecule: ribosomal RNA, 253 nt
Filed under: uncultured bacterium
Lineage: Bacteria
Description: partial 16S ribosomal RNA
Rfam family: Bacterial small subunit ribosomal RNA
Source: RNAcentral